This 858-nucleotide ribosomal RNA is filed under the name uncultured Actinomycetes bacterium. Its description in RNAcentral is "bacterial SSU rRNA". It matches the Rfam family "Bacterial small subunit ribosomal RNA", at positions 28 to 896 of the family's 1533-position model. Lineage: Bacteria; Bacillati; Actinomycetota; Actinomycetes. The record is from RNAcentral.
GACGAACGCUGGCGGCGUGCUUAACACAUGCAAGUCGAACGGAAAGGCCUGCAGCUUGCUGCGGGUACUCGAGUGGCGAACGGGUGAGUAACACGUGGGUGAUCUGCCUUGCACUUCGGGAUAAGCUUGGGAAACUGGGUCUAAUACCGGAUAGGACAGCUGUUUAGUGUCAGUUGUGGAAAGUUUUUUCGGUGCAAGAUGAGCUUGCGGCCUAUCAGCUUGUUGGUGGGGUAAUGGCCUACCAAGGCGUCGACGGGUAGCCGGCCUGAGAGGGUGUACGGCCACAUUGGGACUGAGAUACGGCCCAGACUCCUACGGGAGGCAGCAGUGGGGAAUAUUGCACAAUGGGCGGAAGCCUGAUGCAGCGACGCCGCGUGGGGGAUGAAGGCCUUCGGGUCGUAAACUCCUUUCGACAGGGACGAAGCGUAAGUGACGGUACCUGUAUAAGAAGCACCGGCUAACUACGUGCCAGCAGCCGCGGUAAUACGUAGGGUGCGAGCGUUGUCCGGAAUUACUGGGCGUAAAGAGCUCGUAGGUGGUUUGUCGCGUCGUCUGUGAAAUUCCGGGGCUUAACUCCGGGCGUGCAGGCGAUACGGGCUGACUUGAGUGCUGUAGGGGAGACUGGAAUUCCUGGUGUAGCGGUGAAAUGCGCAGAUAUCAGGAGGAACACCGAUGGCGAAGGCAGGUCUCUGGGCAGUAACUGACGCUGAGGAGCGAAAGCAUGGGUAGCGAACAGGAUUAGAUACCCUGGUAGUCCAUGCCGUAAACGGUGGGCGCUAGGUGUAGGGGGCUUCCACGUCUUCUGUGCCGUAGCUAACGCAUUAAGCGCCCCGCCUGGGGAGUACGGCCGCAAGGCUA